CCUACGGGGGGCAGCAGUGGGGAAUAUUGGACAAUGGGGGCAACCCUGAUCCAGCCAUGCCGCGUGUGUGAAGAAGGCCCUCGGGUUGUAAAGCACUUUCAGUGAGGAAGAACGCCUGGUGGUUAAUACCCAUCAGGAAAGACAUCACUCACAGAAGAAGCACCGGCUAACUCCGUGCCAGCAGCCGCGGUAAUACGGAGGGUGCGAGCGUUAAUCGGAAUUACUGGGCGUAAAGCGCGCGUAGGUGGCUUGAUAAGCCGGUUGUGAAAGCCCCGGGCUCAACCUGGGAACGGCAUCCGGAACUGUCAAGCUAGAGGGCAGGAGAGGAAGGUAGAAUUCCCGGGGGAGCGGUGAAAUGCGUAGAGAUCGGGAGGAAUACCAGGGGCGAAGGCGGCCUUCUGGACUGACACUGACACUGAGGUGCGAAAGCGUGGGUAGCAAACAGGAUUAGAUACCCUGGUUAGUC
This 466-nucleotide ribosomal RNA is filed under the name Vreelandella stevensii. RNAcentral's name for it is "partial 16S ribosomal RNA". It matches the Rfam family "Bacterial small subunit ribosomal RNA", at positions 338 to 795 of the family's 1533-position model. Lineage: Bacteria; Pseudomonadati; Pseudomonadota; Gammaproteobacteria; Oceanospirillales; Halomonadaceae. The record is from RNAcentral.